This 379-nucleotide unclassified non-coding RNA is filed under the name Leontopodium artemisiifolium. Its description in RNAcentral is "partial contains external transcribed spacer and 18S ribosomal RNA". The record is from RNAcentral. Lineage: Eukaryota; Viridiplantae; Streptophyta; Magnoliopsida; Asterales; Asteraceae.
GCGCAACAACUUCCACCUGGCUUACCUUUUCAGUCUUGUGUCAUUGCUUGUAUCGCAUUGAAUGCAUGGUGGGUUUCUUGUGUUGCAUGCCUAAUUGAUGGUAUCAUUUGAAGAAUUGAUGUCCCUUUUCAUCUUGUGUCGCACAUGCGAUGUGAGAUGAACCUUGAAGUAGACUUUGUGAUCCACUCUUUCGAUGUACACGCAUUGAUUUUGUGGCCCACUGUGUGUUGCUUGGUCUCAUGGAUAUGGAACCUGGUGUGGGCAUGGGAUCUUUACUAGUUCCUUGUUUGCCCUGGUUUAGCUUUUCUAAUACGAUUGUUUAUCACAUUUUAAUGUGGUAGGCUAUAUCGGAUAUGAAUGCUACCUGGUUGAUCCUGCC